AUUGAACGCUGGCGGCAUGCCUUACACAUGCAAGUCGAACGGUAACAGGUCUUCGGAUGCUGACGAGUGGCGAACGGGUGAGUAAUACAUCGGAACGUGCCCGAGAGUGGGGGAUAACGAGGCGAAAGCUUUGCUAAUACCGCAUACGAUCUCAGGAUGAAAGCAGGGGACCGCAAGGCCUUGCGCUCACGGAGCGGCCGAUGGCAGAUUAGGUAGUUGGUGGGAUAAAAGCUUACCAAGCCGACGAUCUGUAGCUGGUCUGAGAGGACGACCAGCCACACUGGGACUGAGAGACGGACCAGACUCCUACGGAGGCAGCAGUGGGAAUAUUGGACAAUGGGGGCAACCCUGAUCCAGCGAUGCCGCGUGUGUGAAGAAGGCCUGAGGGUUGUAAAGCACUUUAGUUGGGGAGAAGAAUCCAGAGAUGAAUAAGCUAUGGAAAUGACGUUACCCAAAGAAUAAGCACCGGCUAACUCUGUGCCAGCAGCCG
Molecule: ribosomal RNA, 490 nt
Filed under: uncultured bacterium
Lineage: Bacteria
Description: bacterial SSU rRNA
Rfam family: Bacterial small subunit ribosomal RNA
Source: RNAcentral